UUCAGCUUUGCGCAGUGGCAGUAUCGUAGCCAAUGAGGUUUAUCCGAGGCGCGAUUAUUGCUAAUUGAAAACUUUUCCCAAUACCCCGCCGUGACGACUUGAAAUAUAGUCGGCAUUGGCAAUUUUUGACGGUCUCUACGGAGACUGAAUCAUCCGCUGUUUCUUAGGAGUUCAAGUCGUAAGCAGAUCGGCUCUGUGGCGUCAUGCUAAUUUGCAUGAAAUCCCCCAGCAUUCCCCGCAAAUGAGCUCUCGUUUCUAAAAUAUAAAUGUUCGGCAAGAGAUGAUCCAACAAGAAGAAGCCCCCCAUGCAGACGAGUCUUAGACAUAACUGCUCUCAGAGAAACGCUUCAUGUCCACGAACUCGCUGGCGAUUGCUCACCGUCACUGAAAGGGUAGUUGUCAUCCAUGGGGGUCAGGGUUCGUGCGGUAGCUUGUCAGCUUUGCGCAGUGGCAGUAUCGUAGCCAAUGAGGUUUAUCCGAGGCGCGAUUAUUGCUAAUUGAAAACUUUUCCCAAUACCCCGCCAUGACGACUUGAAAUAUAGUCGGCAUUGGCAAUUUUUGACAGUCUCUACGGAGACUGAAUAAA
Molecule: long non-coding RNA, 586 nt
Organism: Phacochoerus africanus (Common warthog)
Lineage: Eukaryota; Metazoa; Chordata; Mammalia; Artiodactyla; Suidae
Exons: 2
Source: RefSeq, a predicted model, not a curated record